Molecule: ribosomal RNA, 1476 nt
Filed under: uncultured Flavobacteriia bacterium
Lineage: Bacteria; Pseudomonadati; Bacteroidota; Flavobacteriia
Description: 16S ribosomal RNA
Rfam family: Bacterial small subunit ribosomal RNA
Source: RNAcentral
AGAGUUUGAUCCUGGCUCAGGAUGAACGCUAGCGGCAGGCUUAACACAUGCAAGUCGAGGGGUAACGGGGAAGCUUGCUUCCGCCGACGACCGGCGCACGGGUGCGUAACGCGUAUACAAUCUACCUUAUACUGGGGUAUAGCCUUUAGAAAUGAAGAUUAACCCCCCAUAGUCUCUUAGAGUGGCAUCACUUCUAGAGUAAAGGUUACGGUAUAAGAUGAGUAUGCGUUCUAUUAGUUUGUUGGUGUGGUAACGGCACACCAAGACUACGAUAGAUAGGGGCCCUGAGAGGGGGAUCCCCCACACUGGUACUGAGACACGGACCAGACUCCUACGGGAGGCAGCAGUGAGGAAUAUUGGACAAUGGAGGCAACUCUGAUCCAGCCAUGCCGCGUGCAGGAAGACUGCCCUAUGGGUUGUAAACUGCUUUUAUACAGGAAGAAACACCUCUACGUGUAGAGGCUUGACGGUACUGUAAGAAUAAGGAUCGGCUAACUCCGUGCCAGCAGCCGCGGUAAUACGGAGGAUCCAAGCGUUAUCCGGAAUCAUUGGGUUUAAAGGGUCCGUAGGUGGAUAAUUAAGUCAGAGGUGAAAUCUUGCAGCUCAACUGUAAAAUUGCCUUUGAAACUGGUUAUCUUGAGUUAUUAUGAAGUAGUUAGAAUAUGUAGUGUAGCGGUGAAAUGCAUAGAUAUUACAUAGAAUACCAAUUGCGAAGGCAGAUUACUAAUAAUCAACUGACACUGAUGGACGAAAGCGUGGGUAGCGAACAGGAUUAGAUACCCUGGUAGUCCACGCCGUAAACGAUGGUUACUAGCUGUUUGGACUUCGGUCUGAGUGGCUAAGCGAAAGUGAUAAGUAACCCACCUGGGGAGUACGUUGCAAGAAUGAAACUCAAAGGAAUUGACGGGGGCCCGCACAAGCGGUGGAGCAUGUGGUUUAAUUCGAUGAUACGCGAGGAACCUUACCAGGGCUUAAAUGUAAGUUGCAUUAGUUAGAGAUAGCUAUUUCUUCGGACCACUUACAAGGUGCUGCAUGGUUGUCGUCAGCUCGUGCCGUGAGGUGUCAGGUUAAGUCCUAUAACGAGCGCAACCCCUGUUGUUAGUUGCCAGCGAGUCAUGUCGGGAACUCUAACAAGACUGCCAGUGCAAACUGUGAGGAAGGUGGGGAUGACGUCAAAUCAUCACGGCCCUUACGUCCUGGGCUACACACGUGCUACAAUGGUAGGUACAGAGAGCAGCCACUGCGCGAGCAGGAGCGAAUCUAUAAAACCUAUCACAGUUCGGAUCGGAGUCUGCAACUCGACUCCGUGAAGCUGGAAUCGCUAGUAAUCGGAUAUCAGCCAUGAUCCGGUGAAUACGUUCCCGGGCCUUGUACACACCGCCCGUCAAGCCAUGGAAGUUGGAAGUGCCUGAAGUCCGUCACCGUAAGGAGCGGCCUAGGGUAAAGUCGAUAACUAGGGCUAAGUCGUAACAAGGU